Molecule: long non-coding RNA, 627 nt
Filed under: Setaria italica (foxtail millet)
Lineage: Eukaryota; Viridiplantae; Streptophyta; Magnoliopsida; Poales; Poaceae
Description: long non-coding RNA (SITA_LNC001690)
Source: RNAcentral
AUAGAGUAGAUUGACUUGCAAGCUUCAAGAAAGCAAAGCUCAAAGCGAACGGGCAUCCUUAUCCGAUCCAGGUCACAUCUGUUCAUCGACUCUAUCAAAGCUCCAGUGGCCGGUGUGAUGUGAUUUGGACCACCUGCCAUCCUGCAACGGUAACUAUCUUCAGCAAUAGAAUCUGAAUUUCAUUAACAACCAGUCGCCUAUACAUGAUCAAAAGUAAUCACCAAAGACUUGCAAACCACAAUUAGGUAAACUUAACGAGCAAGUUGCUAACCGUCCAGUUAAUGAAAUUAUAGCCUGAGUGGUAGACUGCAGGUAGCCCGUAGCCGUUGGCUGGCUGGCUGCAGAUACCGGAGUAAGCAAUGAUAGGCUGCACAUGUGGAGCCUUGUUCUGGAGAACUCCACAUGUUAUAACUACCUACCCAAACUUUCACAAAGACCCAAGUAGCAGAAUUAAUACCGUUCUUCAAGAUUUAGAACCUACCUGUCAGUCUGGCAUUAGCUGCCAGGACGAAAAAUCGGCAGAUGCUUAUACUAAUCUAUGCAAGUCUUUGGGUACUGGAGCUUAAUCAGCACUCCUCUCCAUGUGGGCAGAUAAGGACGCCCCUGGGAACGGGGUACCGGCCCACG